This 375-nucleotide ribosomal RNA is filed under the name uncultured organism. RNAcentral describes it as "partial 16S ribosomal RNA". It matches the Rfam family "Bacterial small subunit ribosomal RNA", at positions 527 to 896 of the family's 1533-position model. The record is from RNAcentral.
GUAGGUGGCAAGCGUUGUCCGGAAUUAUUGGGCGUAAAGCGCGCGCAGGCGGUUCUUUAAGUCUGAUGUGAAAGCCCACGGCUCAACCGUGGAGGGUCAUUGGAAACUGGAGAACUUGAGUACAGAAGAGGAAAGCGGAAUUCCACGUGUAGCGGUGAAAUGCGUAGAGAUGUGGAGGAACACCAGUGGCGAAGGCGGCUUUCUGGUCUGUAACUGACGCUGAGGCGCGAAAGCGUGGGGAGCAAACAGGGAUUAGAUACCCUGGUAGUCCACGCCGUAAACGAUGAGUGCUAAGUGUUAGGGGGGUUUCCGCCCCCUUAGUGCUGCAGUUAACGCAUUAAGCACUCCGCCUGGGGGAGUACGGCCGCAAGGCUG